Molecule: long non-coding RNA, 1186 nt
Filed under: Anas platyrhynchos platyrhynchos (common mallard)
Lineage: Eukaryota; Metazoa; Chordata; Aves; Anseriformes; Anatidae
Description: lncRNA (ENSAPLG00000028583.1)
Source: RNAcentral
AUGUUGGAUGCCCGACUUGCACAGAAACCUGCUGGUGCAGAAAAGCUUCCAGCUUUGCUGUUCGCCUUCGUUACCUGCAGUGAGCGGGGGCAGGCGGUGCGCAGUGCGGCCGGGCCGGGCCGUUUCGGGGAUUUGGGGCUGCAGCCUGGGUCCUGCUCCACAGCCGUGAGCUCUGCGGAGGAGUGAGGAUGGAGUCUGCCAGAGGCCCGCAGCUGCACCAGGAGGGAAGGCAACUCCCAUCGCCAGCAGAGGAUCUGUGGGUGCCUCGGCACCCUGUCUGUGAGGAGGAGCUCCCAGUGCUGCCUCUGAAGCUGUGCUGUGGAUCCCAGUGAAGCAGUGCUAACAUGAGCCUUAUGCAAUGCAGAGACUGGCUGCUACUGGGCCAUCGCCGGGCUGAAAACGCCCUUAGCACCUUUGAAAAGCAACCAGUAGAACAUUUUUAUUGUCUGAUAACCAAGCAAUUAACUCGUGUCACAACUGUAUAGUGUUUCUUUUGCCAUAAUAUGGAGCUUUUAAGAAGAAAAUUAAACCUGCCAAGCAUCAUUACAUGAUAAGCCUACCAAGCAAGCAACUAUUCAGAUUUCAGUGGCCUUGACUGAAGAACCUGGGAAAGUUCAGACAACUGGAAAAUGUAAGCAUCUGGCCAGACUCCAGAUAAUUUACCAGUACAUUAGAGGUAAUUCUUUGCUGGGUUCAUGUAUACCUGGUGAUUCCUAUUCAACUAUGGAAAUUUUUCUUGUUCUUGUAUACAUCCUCAUUACACGCAAGUGACACGUUAGACACCAAGCUACAGCCUGUUGCUCCUGCUGCUUCUGAUCAGAAACCUGACAUCUUACUGAAAUGGAAGUGAAAACGUGGAAGGCUUUGGAAGAUCUGGGUAGGAAUCCUAUGGAGUGCAUUAGCAUUUGGUGAGCUGGGCACAAGAAUUACUCAGGAAAUUAAAAGGAGGAUGUUAUUUUGAGGUGAUAAAACAUUAAAAUAUGGAACUUGCAUUUGAGUCAGAUCCAGACUUAAUUUUCCCUUUUUAAGCUGUAGCUUAUGAAAAUCCUGAUUCUAUGCCAGUAACGAGUGAAGUCUUUGGGAUAUUGCAAGAGGGAGAAGAGAACAAAUUUGAUGGUGCUGGUGUUGGGCUUCUCAGUGACAUUUUGAUGAAAUGAAAAAUGCUGAAACAAGUCAAAGGACAGGG